Long non-coding RNA from Clupea harengus (Atlantic herring), 676 nucleotides. Lineage: Eukaryota; Metazoa; Chordata; Actinopteri; Clupeiformes; Clupeidae. The record is from Ensembl.
CCCACUCUGACAAUAAAAACUGGUUGAAGAAAAUGUUUACGGUUUAAUUGCUCUCCAUAUCAGCAACACAGGCCCUAAAAAAAGACAGUUAGGCAGAAAGAAAACAGCGGUGAGAACAUGACAGUAGAGGUGGUGGCACAGGCACAGGCAACACUGAGAGAACAUGACAGUAGUGGUGGUGGCACAGGCAACACUGAGAGAACAUGACAGUAGAGGUGGUGGCACAGGCACAGGUUACACUGAGAGAACAUGACAGUAGAGGUGAUGGCACAGGCACAGGCAACACUGAGAGAACAUUACAGUAGAGGUGACGGCACAGGCACAGGCACAGGCAACACUGAGAGAACAUGACAGUAGUGGUGGUGGCACAGGCACAGGCAACACUGAGAGAACAUGACAGUAGAGGUGGUGGCACAGGCACAGGUAACACUGAGAGAAUAUGACAGUAGAGGUGGCACAGGCACAGGUAACACUGAGAGAACAUGACAGUAGAGGUGGCACAGGCACAGGCAACACUGAGAGAACAUGACAGUAGAGGUGGUGGCACAGGUAACACUGAGAGAACAUGACAGUAGAGGUGGCACAGGCACAGGCAACACUGAGAGAACAUGACAGUAGAGGUGGUGGCACAGGCACAGGCACAGGCAACACUGAGAGAACAUGACAGUAGUGGUGG